GCUCGGGUGGUGGAAUGGUAGACACAAGGGACUUAAAAUCCCUUGGAGGCAACUCCGUGAAGGUUCGAGUCCUUUCCCGAGCA
RNAcentral lists this transfer RNA (83 nucleotides) under Simkania sp. RNAcentral describes it as "tRNA-Leu". It matches the Rfam family "tRNA". From Rfam's summary of the family: Transfer RNA (tRNA) molecules are approximately 80 nucleotides in length. Their secondary structure includes four short double-helical elements and three loops (D, anti-codon, and T loops). RNAcentral also lists the same sequence under 2 other names. The record is from RNAcentral. Lineage: Bacteria; Pseudomonadati; Chlamydiota; Chlamydiia; Parachlamydiales; Simkaniaceae.